CCUACGGGAGGCAGCAGUGGGGGAUAUUGGACAAUGGGGGAAACCCUGAUCCCGCGACGCCGCGUGAGUGAAGAAGUAUUUCGGUAUGUAAAGCUCUAUCAGUAGGGAAGAAAGCAAUGACGGUACAUGAGUAAGAAGCUCCGGCUAACUACGUGCCAGCAGCCGCGGUAAUACGUAGGGGGCAAGCGUUAUCCGGAAUUACUGGGUGCAAAGGGAGCGUAGACGGUAAUGCAAGUCUGGAGUGAAAGGCGGGGGCCCAACCCCCGGACUGCCCUUGACACUGUGUGACUGGAGUGCAGGAGAGGCAGGCGGAAUUCCUGGUGUAGCGGUGAAAUGCGUAGAUAUUAGGAGGAACACCAGUGGCGAAGGCGGCCUGCUGGACUGGAACUGACGUUGAGGCGCGAAAGCGUGGGGAGCAAACAGGAUUAGAUACCCGAGUAGUC
Molecule: ribosomal RNA, 443 nt
Filed under: uncultured bacterium
Lineage: Bacteria
Description: partial 16S ribosomal RNA
Rfam family: Bacterial small subunit ribosomal RNA
Source: RNAcentral